This 429-nucleotide unclassified non-coding RNA is filed under the name fungal sp. RNAcentral's name for it is "partial internal transcribed spacer region". The stretch from base 1 to 46 matches the Rfam family "Eukaryotic small subunit ribosomal RNA", at positions 1786 to 1831 of the family's 1831-position model. The record is from RNAcentral. Lineage: Eukaryota; Fungi.
AAGUCGUAACAAGGUUUCCGUAGGUGAACCUGCGGAAGGAUCAUUGCCAUAUGUAUCCAUAUAAACACCUGUGAACUUUGCUUAUUUGCAUUUCCGUUCGUUGUUGAGUGGGCGUUGCAAUGUGCGCUAGUGGAGCUCUUGAGUAGUGGUAGCUUCCGUCGCAUUGUACUCAUCCUUUAUUGGAUGACCUGCUUGACACGAGCGUGUAUUCCACUGCUCAUCUUCUUAUUCAAUUAUUAACACCUUGUACCCAUUGUGAACUGAACAUAACGCAUUGUUUUAGCAGCCGCAGCAGCUCGAAAUUGGGUUGGGCGCGUGACUUAAGUUACGCCUCACUCGGUGUGCGUAGCAGCCGCAGCUUGCAAACGAGCAGUGUCGUAAAUGUACGAAACGUGCGAACAACUCUUAACAACGGAUAUCUUGGUUCUC